This 1176-nucleotide ribosomal RNA is filed under the name human gut metagenome. Its description in RNAcentral is "bacterial LSU rRNA". It matches the Rfam family "Bacterial large subunit ribosomal RNA", at positions 1271 to 2431 of the family's 2925-position model. The record is from RNAcentral.
UGCUGGACGUAUCAGAAGUGCGAAUGCUGACAUAAGUAACGAUAAAACGGGUGAAAAACCCGUUCGCCGGAAGACCAAGGGUUCCUGUCCAACGUUAAUCGGGGCAGGGUGAGUCGGCCCCUAAGGCGAGGCUGAAAAGCGUAGUCGAUGGGAAACGGGUUAAUAUUCCCGUACUUGGAUAAACUGCGAUGUGGGGACGGAGCAGGUUAGGUUAGCGCACUGUUGGAUAUGUGCGUUUAAGUUGGUAGGUGAGAAGUUUAGGCAAAUCCGGACUUCUUUAACACUGAGAGAUGAUGACGAGGCUCUACGGAGCUGAAGUAACCGAUACCACACUUCCAGGAAAAGCCACUAAGCUUCAGGUUUAUCUAAACCGUACUGAAAACCGACACAGGUGGUCAGGUAGAGAAUACUCAGGCGCUUGAGAGAACUCGGGUGAAGGAACUAGGCAAAAUAGCACCGUAACUUCGGGAGAAGGUGCGCCGGCGUAGAUUGUAGUCCCUUGCGGAUGAAGGUUGAACCGGUCGAAGAUACCAGCUGGCUGCAACUGUUUAUUAAAAACACAGCACUCUGCAAACACGAAAGUGGACGUAUAGGGUGUGAUGCCUGCCCGGUGCUGGAAGGUUAAUUGAUGGUGUAAUCGAAAGAGAAGCUCCUGAUCGAAGCCCCAGUAAACGGCGGCCGUAACUAUAACGGUCCUAAGGUAGCGAAAUUCCUUGUCGGGUAAGUUCCGACCUGCACGAAUGGCAUAAUGAUGGCCAGGCUGUCUCCACCCGAGACUCAGUGAAAUUGAAAUCGCCGUGAAGAUGCGGUGUACCCGCGGCUAGACGGAAAGACCCCGUGAACCUUUACUAUAGCUUGACACUGAACAUUGAAUUUUGAUGUGUAGGAUAGGUGGGAGACUAUGAAGAUGAUACGCCAGUAUUGUUGGAGUCGUCCUUGAAAUACCACCCUUUAACGUUUGAUGUUCUAACGAAGAUUACGAAACGUGGUCUCGGACAGUGUCUGGUGGGUAGUUUGACUGGGGCGGUCUCCUCCCAAAGAGUAACGGAGGAGCACGAAGGUUUGCUAAUGACGGUCGGACAUCGUCAGGUUAGUGCAAUGGUAUAAGCAAGCUUAACUGCGAGACAGACAAGUCGAGCAGGUACGAAAGUAGGUCAUAGUGAUCCGGUGGUUCUG